GAUGAACGCUGGCGGCGUGCCUAAUACAUGCAAGUCGAGCGAACGGACGAGAAGCUUGCUUCUCUGAUGUUAGCGGCGGACGGGUGAGUAACACGUGGAUAACCUACCUAUAAGACUGGGAUAACUUCGGGAAACCGUAGCUAAUACCGGAUAAUAUUUUGAACCGCAUGGUUCAAAAGUGAAAGACGGUAUUGCUGUCAAUUAUAGAUGGAUCCGCGCUGCAUUAGCUAGUUGGUAAGGUAACGGCUUACCAAGGCAACGAAGCAUAGCCGACCUGAGCGGGUGAUCGGCCACACUGGAAGUGAGGCACGGUCCAGACUCCUACGGGAGGCAGCGGUAGGGAAUCUUCCGCGAUGGGCGAAAGCCGGACGGAGCAACGCCGCGUGAGUGAUGAAGGUCUUCGGAUCGUAAAACUCUGUUAUUAGGGAAGAACAAAUGUGUAAGUAACUGUGCACAUCUUGACGGUACCUAAUCAGAAAGCCACGGCUAACUACGUG
This 497-nucleotide ribosomal RNA is filed under the name uncultured bacterium. Its description in RNAcentral is "partial 16S ribosomal RNA". It matches the Rfam family "Bacterial small subunit ribosomal RNA", at positions 28 to 507 of the family's 1533-position model. The record is from RNAcentral.